UCAGGAUGAACGCUAGCUACAGGCUUAACACAUGCAAGUCGAGGGGCAGCAUGAUCAAAGCUUGCUUGAUGAUGGCGACCGGCGCACGGGUGAGUAACGCGUAUCCAACCUUCCCUAUAGUAGAGGAUAGCCCGGCGAAAGUCGGAUUAAUACUCUAUGUUUUCCAAUGCAGACAUCUAAAAUGGAACAAAGGUUUACCGCUAUAGGAUGGGGAUGCGUCUGAUUAGGUAGUCGGCGGGGUAACGGCCCACCGAGCCCUCGAUCAGUAGGGGUUCUGAGAGGAAGGUCCCCCACAUUGGAACUGCGACACGGUCCAAACUCCUACGGGAGGCAGCAGUGAGGAAUAUUGGUCAAUGGUCGGAAGACUGAACCAGCCAAGUAGCGUGCAGGAUGAACCGGCCCUAUGGGUUGUAAACUGCUUUUGUGCGGGAAUAACGUUGUGCUCGUGAGCGCAAGUGCAUGUACCGUACGAAUAAGGAUCGGCUAACUCCGUGCCAGCAGCCGC
Molecule: ribosomal RNA, 505 nt
Filed under: uncultured bacterium
Lineage: Bacteria
Description: bacterial SSU rRNA
Rfam family: Bacterial small subunit ribosomal RNA
Source: RNAcentral